GCAUAUCAAUAAGCGGAGGAAAAGAAACCAACAGGGAUUGCCCCAGUAACGGCGAGUGAAGCGGCAACAGCUCAAAUUUGAAAUCUGGCCCCUAGGGUUCGAGUUGUAAUUUGUAGAGGAUGCUUUUGGUGAGGUGCCGCCCGAGUUCCCUGGAACGGGACGCCACAGAGGGUGAGAGCCCCGUCUGGCUGGCCGCCGAGCCUCUGUAAAGCUCCUUCGACGAGUCGAGUAGUUUGGGAAUGCUGCUCAAAAUGGGAGGUAUAUGUCUUCUAAAGCUAAAUAUUGGCCAGAGACCGAUAGCGCACAAGUAGAGUGAUCGAAAGAUGAAAAGCACCUUGAAAAGAGGGUUAAAUAGUACGUGAAAUUGUUGAAAGGGAAGCGCUUGUGACCAGACUUGGGCGCGGCGGAUCAUCCGGGGUUCUCUCCGGUGCACUUCGCCGCGUCUAGGCCAGCAUCAGUUCGUCGCGGGGGAAAAAGGCUUCGGGAACGUGGCUCCUCCGGGAGUGUUAUAGCCCGUUGCAUAAUACCCUGCGGUGGACUGAGGACCGCGCAUCUGCAAGGAUGCUGGCGUAAUGGUCACCAGCGACCCGUCUUGAAACACGGACCAAGGAGUCGUCUUCGUAUGCGAGUGUUCGGGUGUCAAACCCCUACGCGUAAUGAAAGUGAACGCAGGUGAGAGCUUCGGCGCAUCAUCGACCGAUCCUGAUGUUCUCGGAUGGAUUUGAGUAAGAGCAUACGGGGCCGGACCCGAAAGAAGGUGAACUAUGCCUGUAUAGGGUGAAGCCAGAGGAAACUCUGGUGGAGGCUCGCAGCGGUUCUGACGUGCAAAUCGAUCGUCAAAUAUGGGCAUGGGGGGCGAAAGACUAAUCGAACCUUCUAGUAGCUGGUUCCGCCGAAG
This 898-nucleotide ribosomal RNA is filed under the name Trichoderma tawa. RNAcentral's name for it is "LSU rRNA". It matches the Rfam family "Eukaryotic large subunit ribosomal RNA", at positions 38 to 966 of the family's 3401-position model. Lineage: Eukaryota; Fungi; Ascomycota; Sordariomycetes; Hypocreales; Hypocreaceae. The record is from RNAcentral.